CAAAAUUGAACUGUUUAUCAUUAUGAGACUCCAACUCAGUCCAUUAGCAUCAAGCACCAUUGCAUCGGUAUCAAGAGUUUUAACUAUGAAAAGAAAAAAGGAAGCUCUGUGUAGUUAGGUUCUUUCUGCUCUAACAUAAGGGCAGCGCUAAGAGUGAACAGUGAACAGCUCCCAGGCCAGAUCCACCAUAAAGAGCUCAAGAUGGAGGCAACAAGCACAGACAGAUAUGGAACCUUUGCCCACUGUGACAUAGCAGGCAAGCCUGGGUCAGCUCCAGAGUGGCAAUAGAGGGAAAUUCCCAGGACUCCAGGCCUCUUGGAAGUUUCCAAGGCCUUCAACUGAUCACAGAUCCUGGUUUUUCUCCCAUUGGCUAAAAAGAUAAUAAAUAAAAGUUACAGCUUGA
Molecule: long non-coding RNA, 403 nt
Organism: Sapajus apella (tufted capuchin)
Lineage: Eukaryota; Metazoa; Chordata; Mammalia; Primates; Cebidae
Exons: 2
Source: RefSeq, a predicted model, not a curated record